GACGAACCGUGCGAACGUUAUUCGGAAUCACUGGGCUUAAAGCGCGUGUAGGCGGGGCGGCACGUCGGUCGCUGAAAGCCCCCGGCUCAACCGGGGAACGGGCGCCGAUACGACCGCCCUCGAGGAACGUAGGGGGACCUGGAACUUCCGGUGGAGCGGUGAAAUGCGUUGAGAUCGGAAGGAACGCCCGUGGCGAAGGCGGCUCUCUGGGACGGUACUGACGCUGAGACGCGAAAGCGUGGGGAGCGAACAGG
RNAcentral lists this ribosomal RNA (254 nucleotides) under uncultured bacterium. RNAcentral describes it as "partial 16S ribosomal RNA". It matches the Rfam family "Bacterial small subunit ribosomal RNA", at positions 524 to 776 of the family's 1533-position model. The record is from RNAcentral.